UGCCCAGCAACUCCUAUCCCUACCUCCUCGCGGUACCGGCCGGAAACUAUUAGCAACCUUAGGGAAGAUCGGAUUACCAACCCCGGUGGGAGCUUUGGUCGUAGGCUGACAGGGAAGG
Molecule: non-coding RNA, 118 nt
Organism: Aedes albopictus (Asian tiger mosquito)
Lineage: Eukaryota; Metazoa; Arthropoda; Insecta; Diptera; Culicidae
Source: Rfam